This 575-nucleotide unclassified non-coding RNA is filed under the name Leishmania donovani. RNAcentral describes it as "gene:LdHU3.11.1700(CDS-product:hypothetical_prote in)". Lineage: Eukaryota; Euglenozoa; Kinetoplastea; Trypanosomatida; Trypanosomatidae. The record is from RNAcentral.
GCCGUCGACCACGUCAACGCAAACUUGAGGAGGCCAUCACAUGAGCUCUGGCGACGAGCAUCGACGGCACUUUUGUGUCUCCCUCACGAAUCUUCAUGUUAAUCUGGAGACCAUCGGCGGCGUUACGUACCCGCACCACAUCUUUGGUAGUAACAUGGCGCUCCGAAGCGAAGAGGGCGAGCUGCUGCUGCCUGGCGCCAACGGAGAGGUCCAUGUGAAGGAGGGCGGCCGCUACACCGUCGAGCAUGUCCUACCGAAGUAGCGACUUGGGAAACGAAACAAACAGACGUUGCUGUGUUUACCCUCACCGGGGUUUUCGGGGUUUGCCUUUCUGUGUGUCUCUCUGCGCGGCCUUGUGCUUGCCCACGCCGCGGCUCGAGGUAAUGGAGAGGGAGAUAACAUAGCAAAUGCCAGAUAUGUCGAUGUCGUCGUCUUUGGUGCUGCACGGCGCCCACCGAUGUGUUCAUGCCAAUCGUGCUCUUUAUCUGCACUGGACACGCCUCAGACAGUCGCCGGCUUCUCUUGUAGCCUGAAUCGUUUUGUGUGUUCCCUCCUCUACCUUCCUUGUGGCUCAG